This 18501-nucleotide long non-coding RNA is filed under the name Oryza sativa (Asian cultivated rice). RNAcentral describes it as "long non-coding RNA (OSAT_LNC000750)". The record is from RNAcentral. Lineage: Eukaryota; Viridiplantae; Streptophyta; Magnoliopsida; Poales; Poaceae.
CUUGUUGAAGUAGCUCUUCACGUCGCCGCCGUUGCCGCCGUAGUUGCCGCCGCCGUUGCUGCUGUUGUUGUAACCCCCCAUCUUGUUGAACCCGAAGGCGUUGACGUUGUUGUUGUUGAUCUUGGCGGCGCCGCCGUAGGACUUGUUGUUGUUGUUGUUGUCGACGGGGAGGUUGACGCUGUUGUAGCGGUCGGCCUUGGUGGCGCCGAAGGCGAGCUUGCCGGAGCCGAUGAGGCCCGGGCCAUCCAGGUUUCCGGCGACGCCGUUGAUGUUGGCGAUGGCGUUCUUGGCGGGGGAGGGGGAGGAGAAGUGGUGGUACUCGCCGUCGAAGGCCGGCUCGUUGCGGCGGUCGGAGGGGGAGGACCAGAUGGAGUCGCCGAGGGAGAGGCCGGAGAAGCUCGCCGUCUGCAGCCGCAGCUGGUCGCUGAACUGGUAGAACUCGCGGUCGUAUCCCUCCAUGGCCGCUGCUGCUUUUUUUCUCUUGUUUUCUCGUGUGCUCGUGCUGCUUGGCUAGGGGGCGCGGAAUGGGAAAGGAGACGGGGCGGGAGGCGAGUGGUUUUAUCGGGGCAGGAGGAGACUGUGCGACGCGGCUCGGCUCGGUUGGUUGGUUGGUGAGUGGUGGUGGUCUCGGGUGGAUACGAGUUUUGGUCGUAAUUUCGACCGGGACAAGGGCGAAAUCACCGUGCGCAAAGCAAAGCGCGACGAGGGAAGCUUCGGCGAAGGUGGCGAAAACGCGUCCGUGCUGCUGCUGAUUGUUCACUUCAGUUCAACGGCGUCUUCUUCUGGAAGAUGGGAUAGGAUUACUUACACUAGUCUAGUCUAAUGAGAGAUUGUGUUAGUGAAUACAAGUGACGUGUUCAUUGUUGGGCCGCUUUGGAACACGACCGAUCAGCAAGAGCCAGCCAGCUGUGAUGCAUCGAGUCGUGGACGUCACUGCCGUACAGAUAACGAAAGGAUGCGGGGUACGAGUGGAGAGUACACUAUGCUUGGUGUUACCGUCUGAAAAGAAAAGGCUAGGUAGCUGAAACUAAUCUCCUUUUUUUCGAGCUAAAGAAAAAGAUACAGAAUAAAAUCAUGCUCCUUUCUUUUUUACAUGGAUGUGACGGGGUUGGCAAUUUUUUCCCCGGCAUAUCGAAUGUUUGAACACAUGUACAUAUUAUUAAAUAUUGAAAAAAAAAAACUAACUACACAGUUUGCGUGUAAAUUGCGAGACGAAUUUUUUAAGCCUAAUUGCGCCAUGAUCUGACAAUAUAGUGCUACAGUAAACAUUUACUAACGAUGGAUUAAUUAGGCUUAAUAAAUCCGUCUCGCAGUUUACCUAUUAUGUAAUUUGUUUUGUUAUUAGUCUAUGUUUAAUACUUUAAAUACUUGCCCGUAUAUCUGAUGUGACCCAAUAAAUUUUUUUACCGGUGGAACUAAACGCAGCCGUAACUCUCAAGCUCCUACACCCGAGCUAAGCUUGCACACAUGUACUAGGAUAUGUUUGGAGAGCUUCUAGCAAAUAGAGAAUCUUUUAGAAGCUGCAGCUGUCAAACAAACCAUCCUAAUUUUUACUGUGUUUAGAUCCAAAGUUUGGAUGCAAACUUCAGUCAUUUUCCAUCACAUCAACAUGUCAUACACACAACUUUUCAGUCACAUCAUCUUCAAUUUUAACCAAAAUCCAAACUUUGCGUUGAACUAAACAUAGCCUUGAAUUAUGAAAAGUUGUAGCCGUAUAAUCCAGAAAAUAAAUUAGAAACCAAAAAUCGAGGUUCAUAUAUUUUCAUCGGCUGUUUCUUAAACUGUCCAAAUAAAACCCUAGUAUUAUUCUAAGCUCCUUUUUCGUAGUGUCAAAAAAUAAGUGGUUCGAGUCCCCCGCGUGGUGUAGCACACAUGCUGCGAUCCAACUCGACGGGCCGUACAUGCACGAUUGAUCCGGAAUUCCGGAUGCACUGCAAACCACCUUGUUUUUUGCAACGAACGCCAGAGUGAUUGACACGUACGAUGGUCACUCAGAUGGAGCAGCACAAGUGGCCAGCGGGCACGUCUCUCGCUGUCUCGCAACGGAGCGCACCAUCGGCUGCGCUGCGUGCGUAGUGCGUGUGCGGCGCGUCAUCCGUGCCGUGGAGGCGAAAGCGAGUGAGAGCCGAGGGCCCGAGGCACAUCAGAGUGCGCGGGGCGGGGGUGGGGACUCCGCUCUCUCUAUCGGAGGGACGUGCGGGCGGGGACGGACGGACGGAGGGAGGCAAGUGCGAUCGCGACGCACGUCGCGCUGCGCCCUGUCCUGUAUCUCCCUCCCUCAUUUUCUACACGCACGUUUUUCAAACUACUAAACGGUGCGUUUUUUACAAAAAAAAAAAAUUUAUACAAAAGUUGUUUAAAAAAAAUCAUAUUGAUCCAUUUUUGAAUUUUUUUUAUAAAUACUUAAUUAAUCACGUGCUAAUGGACUGCUCCGUUUUCCGUACGGGGAGUUUUGUCUCUAGUUGGAUGUUUGCAUUCCUGUGCCUGAUACAUAUCCCUUCCGGUUGGGACGAUCCAACACAACUGCAUUCGAACGACCCGAAUCAUAUGUUGAACUCCUGCUGGGUGGAUCUUUAUUGACUUGGGGAAAUUCGCGCUCUCCACACAAACAACCUGUUAUCGUCGUCACGACGAUUUUUGUCCGCGAAUUCCAUUUUCAAAAUACAGUAGUAGUAGUAAUACACAGAUCGAUUAUAGCCCCCGUAAUUACUCUUCGAGCGAACGCGCGUGGCUAGUAACCGGGGAAGGCAUCUCCUCCAUGACUCGCAUUUACUCCAGUGCUAGCUAGCUCUCGAGUGUGAAAUCGCCGGAUCCGCGUGACCCCGUCCGUCCGUUGGUUGUUUCCUCGCGGCAAAGCCCCGCGUGCGCACGCGUACGUGUCGCGCGCCGCACACGGCCACAACCCCACCCCGCGUCGCGAUCGCUCACCCGGCAGCGCGCCGCGCGCGCCCGCCUGCCUUGCCUCUGAUCCGCUGAUCCGGUGGAUCCCUCGUCCUGGGCGCCAGCAGCGGCUGAUCCGGUGGACCUCACCGAUCGGUCGACCGAACCGCCAAGCCGCGAAGAAGCCGAUGCCCGCGCGUACUGCCCCGCGUACUACGCGGGGGGUGGUGGGUGCAAGCGCAAAAAACGGUGGUGCAUCGCAUAUUCACUUGUCGUGGUGGGGUGGGGGGGGUCACACACACUGGCGGGACUUGUGGCCUUGGCAUGGCGUGACACUGUGCUCUCGUAUGGGAAGGGAGUCGGCGGAGUGGUGGGCGCACGGGCUAUAGGAGGAUUUUAGCGUACUCGCUCGCGUGGACGGGGGCAUAUGGUAUGGCCCGUGGAAACGGAGAGCGAAAGGGAGAGAGUUGCCAGUGGUCGGGUGGGGAUGCGUUGAUUUGGUUUGCUUUUCUGUUUCUUGCGCGAUGAUCUGGUUUGCAAUUUUCUUUUGGUUGGUUCCCCGUGGAGUACGACAAGUCCAAAUACAAAGUCGUUCUGGAAAAAUAAUCUUGGGAGUAAAUUGAAAAGAGUUUUAUAAGCGAUGUGUUGAGCCAUACCCGGACAAAAAGAACGGAACGGAGGAAGCUCCACUAAAAUACAGAAAAAAAGACCCGCAUGAGAACAUAUUAGUAGUGUCUUAUUCACAAGGAAUUCCUAUAUUUCUAAAGUGGCCCAAACUCUGAAUUCUGACCUGUGUGUCACAAGACUCACAAAUUAGCUGAUAAAAGAAUCGGAGCAGCCGAACUUGCUGGUAUCUCAAGCCAAACUUCACCGUGCAAUUUAGUCAAUCAAUUAGCCUAUCACGGUCGUUCAAAAGGGACAAAAUCAAUUAGCUACCAGUAAAGCUAUUGAUAGGAGUAAUUUAUUAGACUCGCUUCCUCUGCUCAUCACCCACACACGACUGUUGAGCACCAACGUUUGGUGACCUUUUCCUAACCUUCACGCUAGAUUUUUCUUUUGGCGUUUCUAGAAGCCCCGUCGCUAUUGACCGGGUGACACGCGGCGGCAAAGCACGGGCGGUAGUCGGUGGCCGAAGCACCCCAACCCCCAACUAACCGUGCUCACGAUCAUGUCCACGAUAUCACUUUGCCUGUGUGGGCUAACCGGCUAAACAAAAAGACCCUUGUCAAAAUCAAACAGGAGAAGAAUAAAGUGCGAACGAAAAGAAUAUCGCUAGAAGAUCGUCACAAACAGAGACGAUCGGGUCGCUGCCGUGAUGUUUUCACCCCUGCGAGUGAUGUAGGGUUUAUUGAUACUACUUCCAUUUUAGUUUAGUUGUCGCUUUGACUUUCUCUUUCGAACGUUUAAUCAUUCGUUUUAUUUAAAAAAUUAGUAUAAAUAUAAAAAAGAUAAGUUAUACUUAAAGUACUAUUGAUAACAAAGCAAAUCAUAAAUAAAAUAAAUAAUAAAUUUAUAUAUUUUUUAAUAAGACAAAUGAUCAAAAAUUAAAAAAAACUCAAAGCGAUAAUUAUUUUAGGACGGAGGUAGUAUCAUCUUACCAAACAGAAGAGCAUCGAUAAAAAGGAGAUAGUUAACGAUACAACUAAUUUGCAUGCAUAUGUUGUGUAGGACCAAAUGAAGUAGAGACCUGUUGCAGCCCUUGUAGUUUACGUUUGGUUUCAUCUUAGUAUAACAUAACUAUAUAUCCACAUUGGUGGCAAAACCUGGGUCGUUUGAUCUAGCCGCUCGAAGUUAUAUCAUCUGCGCAAAAUACCAUAUCGUUCACCAAUCGAGAAACAUCUAUUGCAGAAAGAUCUUUCUAUGUCCCUAUAAAAAAAAUAAGACAUAGACGCAUAGUACUUUUGAAUAAAAAAACCUCCUCCUCUUUACCAUCCGGUCCUCCGACCUCACCUAGCUGUUGGCUGAGUUUGAGAACAAAAGCAAGACAUAGUACAUUUGAAUAACAAAAACUUUCAAUUUCCUACUUCAUUGGCAUAACAAUUUACUCUAACAACGUGGAUAUAGUAAAUUUGCUAAGAUUUAUAUGUGGCAUGGACAUAGUAAUUUUUGUAAAUCUGCUUUAACAUUGACAUACAUGGCCAUCCUUAAGAAUUUGAGGCCCCUAUGAAAAAACAAAUUGAUGUCCUAUAUUUAUAAGAUGCCAAGAAACAAAACAAUAAAUUAGUGGUGGUACUCUAUGUAAGUUGGAAGAAUAAUUUUUUAAAUUAUGGUGUAAAAAAUAAUUAUGCCAUUUAUUUGUUGAUAAGCGGAAAAACAAAAUCUUUAAUACUUGAAACACAUGUCCAUAUUAUCGUCAUGAGCCAUAGCUCUUUGAGAUGGCCAUUAAAAUUAUCGAACACUUAUAUGUGUGAAAAAGAAAAAGAAAGUAGAAGAAACACGCUCCAGCCAAAUCAAUAAAUGAGCGAGUAUUUUUUUAAAAAAAAUGGAGCUAGAGGCCUUUAAAUACAUUGGUACAUAUUGGCCUGGAUUAAAAUGUAAAAAAUUAUGGGCAUGUCUGGUUGUUCACACUGCGUACUACCUCGUCAAUAGCACUAUCGAACAUAUGAGAUUCAUGGUAAAUUGUACAAGCGUGACAAUGACCAUGAUUCUCAUCAUAAUAUGUUCAUGGUCCAUAUAGUUUGACAUGUAUCACAUAUAACAUUUGUGACGGCUCAUCUAAAUUUGACAUAGAGGUCCUUUAACAUUUAACAUUUGUGACGGGUUUAAGUUUCUCCUUUUCCGUUAGCACAAUUUUCAAACUGUUAUGAAAGUUUCUACAUAUAAGUUGUUUUAUAAAAAUCAAAUAAAUCCGUUUUUUAAAUUUAUAAUAGUUAAUACUUAUUUAAUCACGUGCUUAUGUGGUUUUCCGUUUUACGUGCGCGAAAAACUUUACCUUCUUUUUGAAGCAUCGAACGGGGCCUUAAUAGGAUGAUGAGAUAUGUGAGGAAUAAGUUCACCAGAGGUCCAUCAACUUAACAUCGAGAUUUUUUGAGGUCCCUUAACCAUAAAACCAAAAAUGUGUAUCCCUAAACUCCCUCAAACCUUUGUUCACCGGAGGUCCCUCGACAGUAUUUUUGCCCGGUUUUGCCGACGUGGCAUCCUAGUCAGCAAAAAAAAUUUAAAAAGUAUGUGGGGCCCACAUGUCAGCUGCACAUUCUCUUUUCCCAUCUCUUCUUCAGUGAGGCGGCCGGGCAGAUGAGGGCGUGCGACAGGCGGCGGUGCGGGCACAACGGCGCGCAGGGAAGAAGCGGGAGAGGGGAGAGGAGGCGAGCGCGGCAGCGGGCGGCGUGGAGCGAGCGCGCCGGCGGUGGCGGGAGAGGGGGAGAGAGGCGGCUGGGACGGCGGGAGCGGCGGGCAGGACAGCGGGCGAGAGUGGCAGCGGAGCGGCGGCGCUCGUCAUGCUCUAGCUCUUCACCGCCGGCAUUGUCGUCGUGUUGGUUAACCUCCAUGAGCGCGGUAGGCGGAGCAGCGGUGGGCGGAGGGUGGCGGGCGCUUACGACGGAGCGGGGGGCCUGGUCGACGAGCGGCGGGGAAGGGGAGGGGUGGGGGGCAAGUGUGGCUGCGGAGCGGCGGCAGGCGAUCGGCGGCUACCUCUUCGCCGAUGCGGCGCGCCACCCCCUCUCCCGCCGGCCUCAUCUCCACCCUUGAAUACGAGGUUGAUGGGCUCCUCAUCGUCGUCGCCGUCCCCGGGUGGGAACGGCGGCGCGGGGGGCUUGUAAUCGUCGUCGUCGGGCAGGGCGGCCUUGGCGCCCUUCUUGCCGGAGAGGAGAGAGAGCCGGCCGAGCUUCACUCGUGAGCUUGUCGGCGGCAAUGGCGUCCCUCCGCGCGUGAGAGAAGAAAGGCCAAAAGCCCGUAAACGCAUGCAUGCUAGCUAUGGGUUCUCAAGUGAGGGAUACAUGCAUGCAGUAGAGAGAAAAAGACCAAAGCAAAAGCAGCUUGUGAUUGAUUUGCAGGUUGCACGGGUUGAAAGUGACAAGAUCGAUCGAUCGAAUAUAUAUGUAUAUAUUCAUGAAUGAAUGCAUAUAUGCAUGUAACUCUAAGCCUCGCCCACGGCGACGAUGACGGUGGAGAGCCGACGACGACGGCGGCCAUGGCGCGUGGCUGCUCCGCCUGCAGCCUCCGCUCCGCCGCCGGACGGCCGCGCCGCGUAGCCUCGCUCACGGCGACGACGACGGUGAAGAGCCGACGACGAGGGCGGCCACGGCGCGCGGCUGCUCCGCCUGCAGCCUCCACUCCGCCGCCGUGCUCCGCAGCCUCCGCUCCGAGGGACCUCCGGUGAAUGGUUUGAGUGAGUUUAGGGUUAAGGGUAGACAUUCUUGGUUUUGUGGUUAAGGGACCUCAGUAAAUCUCGCUGUUAAGUUGAGGGACCUCCGGUGAACUUAUUCUGAUAUGUGAUGAUAGUUGAGCCCGUACAUUAUUUGAGUUCACUGUAUUUUGGCCCAGGAGUAAGGGAGCGCUAUCGAGUGGGGGGAAUGGGCCAGGCAUCAAGAAUCCGCCGUGGCCCUCUCCUUGGUGGGACGUCGUGCGUUGUGCAGGCUGGAGCGAGUUACGCACGCGCGCAUGGGCUGAACCUUCAGCUGGUUCGCCCGUGAAUUAAAAACGGGCCACGCACUUGGGUGAGUUAAUUAGCGGAUUAGCUGGCCAUGAACAAUUAGCAGGCCGCGCUUAUUAGCUGGGCUUUUUCUGUGAGAAUUACUGGCUUGGGUGGCCAGUUCGGUCAGGGCAUUUCGGCUGGAGCUGCUGGUGUCUUCAAAAAAAAAAAAAAAAGGGAAGGGGUGGGGGAUGGAUUAUUAGCAUCUAAUUAAUUAAACAAUAAUUAUUAUAAAUUUUAAAAAUAUAUUCUAUUUCAUUUAGAAAACACUUUUAUAUAAUUUUUUUGAAAAUAAUAUACGUUUGGCAUUUUGGUUGGGAAGCGUGUUCACGAUAAACGAGAGAUAAGCAAAAUUCAAACCCAGCCUAGUCUAGUUGAAUGUCAUAUUUAACUGCUAAAUUUAUAUUUAUGCGGUUAUUAUUAUCAUUUGAUUAAUUUGAUGUAAAUUAAAAAUGGAACCAACUAGAAAUCUUAAUUACUGACUAGAUUUAUCUUAGGAAGAAGUCCAAAUACCCCUCCAAACAUCAAAUGAAAGUGCAUCUAGCACCCUGAAUUUUGAAACCCAACAUUGAUCACUCUAAACUUUAUAAUACCGUUUAUAUAGCCCAAAAAGGUGGUUUUGUAUAGUGGCUUUUUUUUUUAUCUAAUUUGUAUAUAAAUUGGACAAGUUUGAUCUCGUGACAUACGCAUUGGACAUAUAUAUUAAAAUCUCCACUUAAAUCUUUCUUUUUACCACUUGUGUUAGCUCUCACUUAUAAAUAAAUACCAAUAUAAUAAUACUACCAUACAAAACCAACUUAGGCUGUGUUCGCAUAUGCCGGUUCCCAUCCAAACAGUCUGCACGGAAAACGGAGCGGUCCAUUAGCACGUGAUUAAUUAAGUACUUGCUAUUCUUUUUUCAAAAAUGGAUCAAUAUGAUUUUUUAAGCAACUUUCGUAUAGAAAAUUUUUAUAAAAAAACACACCAUUUAACAGUUUGAAAAGUGUGCGUGCGGAAAACGAAGCAAGGGAGUUGGGAACUUAGAGUUCUGAACACACCCUUAGGAAGUUAGGAGUAGUAUGAAUGGUUUUGCAAGAUUAGGGGGUUGGAUGCCUGGUUUUAAAUUUUAGGGUGCUAGACGGACUUUUGUUCAAACUUUUGCUUGGGGUGGGGUGGGGGGAAUAUAUGAAAUUUUUUAUUUAUCUUAAUGGAUUAUUAAGAUUGUUCUUUUUAAUGAUUCAUGGUUGUAAACUUGUUUGUAAUCAUUUUCCACCACAAGCAAUUAUGUUCGAGAAAACAUUAAUUUUCUAUUAUCCUGUUUUAUGUUAUAAGACGUUUUGAUUUUUUUAAAAAUUAGUUUAUAGAAAGACAUAAAUAUUUUCAACACCAAACAAUUAUAUUUUUAAAAUAUAUUCAACUUUAGGUUUAGUGGGUUAAUUUGGUGUUAAGUUGCUAUAUUUCUCUUUAAACUUACUUAAACCUAUAAAAGUUUAACUUUGGAAAACAUAAAAAAGAUUUAUAAUACGAAACGAAAAAUAUACUUAAUUAUUUCAGAUAUACUCAUGUACUAAUUAACUUGCACAUUUCCCCCUUUUUGGCCGGCAAAAGCUGGUGAUGAGCAAGUAAGAAUAACGCGGAUGGUGCUGUUCAAAAGCUGAACAUAUGCGAUCAUUUCGAAUAAUUAUAUCAUCCCAAGCAAGCUGGGACCAUUUAUUUUCCAUAUAAAAUAAAACAACGAAAUCUAAUUAACACUACUUUGACAGUUGACACUGUCUAGUAGCUAGGCCGGCCAGCUAGUUGUCUCGCUAGUUGCAACAGCUAGCUCGGAUGCAGAACAAGCUGAGUUGCCCCGCAAAUCUUUCGAAACUUGUAAACUCUAUUAUCUAAUCGCAGUUGCUUCUUAGAAUGUGCCAUUAUGCUUGCUCUGAAAGCUUCUACAACGCACAAAUCCUCUCGUAUAAUACGCUGAUCGAGCGGCUUAAUUAUAUUUGUCUCUGGUUUGCUGUGCAUUCGAAUGAUGAAGCUAGGCCGGCCGGUGUUGAGAUUAUGGGCAUAUAAUGAUUUAAUUUAUUCCAUAAAUAAGUCAUGACAUUACAGAUGAAAACUAGCAUGAACGCAUCAUUAGAUCUACACAUGUAAACUACGCAGAAUAACAUGAACAGAUCAAAUAUGCGCAACAUAUUGAACACGUACCGAGGUGACGAAAAGACCGGCUGCUUGGUCGAAACUUUUCGCAGGUGUCUACGAAGGCACGAAACACGCGAGCGAAGAGGAAGGCGAGCCGUCGCGAACGAACAGGGAGCAGUCGCGCGAAGCGCUUCCCAAAAACCUUAUUGCCGCCUUCUCCCGGUGCAGGACGUCAAAGGCAGAGGUUCCGGAGACCUGCUCUCCCGAUCGCUGGUGCACGCCGGCGAGCGGGAUGGAGUAGUCUACGAGCGACGGCGCAGUACAGAGUAGGAGGCAAACCCUAGAUUGAUUUUCGCAUAUAUUGCGUGAAGACGGCGGGUCGGUUUAUAUAGAGAAAGGUCGCUUGAUCAGGGCGCCCGCACGAUCUCUACUGCGCGUAACCGAACCGGAUAAGUCGCGCGUAACUUAUCCGGACUCCACGCCGUUUGCACGCAUCGGAUUUUUCGGAACGUUUCCAAAACAAAAACGAAUCCGAAUUUGCAGCAAAACAAAACUGCAAAAAGAGGCUGCAUCUGCGCAAGGGUGAGGAGCCAAUUUUUCGGACCAUUCGACGCGUACGUCGUGCACGCGCGCCGCCUGCCCUGCCCUGCCCUGCCCAGGCCAGGCCAGGCGAGGCGAGGCGAGCGAGCGCGCGCGUGUGUUUCCCCUCUUCUCUCCACCACACAUGCUUCAAGUGGCUAGGAGGGCAUCCUCCCUUUUAAGGAGGUCCCCCUCUCCUAGAAUAAGCAAGGUGGUACUAAACUCCACAUGCAUGCCAUCCCAUGAGGUGGGCUUUUGUGAUUUUCCAAAGAAUUAAUCUUCGAGUGGGCUAAGACCCAUUCAUUAAUUCCAACAAUCCCCCACCAAAUCUCAAAAUCCCACUGAGAUUUGCCUUUUCCAAUGUACUGUUUAUAUACCAGCGGUUCGAUGGAGACCAAUUAAGGUUGAACAUCCACCUAGAACUCCAAGCUACACUUACUCACAACUUGAACAAUGGACUACGCCUUGAAUUGCAAGUCUUGUGCAAGCAAGUUUCACUCAAAGUCUUAUCUGGUACUAGACCGUCUGUAGACUACCCCUCGGGUGGAGCGUAUAAGUCAUACUCCUAGGUCUUUAGUAAGCUUCCUAGAAGAUUCACCCAAAAUCUUCAUGGACUGCGACCAACAGUCAAGCUCACAAAGGUGAGUUCCUUCAAGAAUGCUCUGCAGGACAACAUCUUUGCUAAUUAAAGCCAACAGAACUCAUUAAGGCAUAGCCAACCUGCCUUGCAGCUCACGAGAGUAUAUGCAUCUUCACUUAGAGAGGGUAUAUAUAUUGGUACUCUCCUCUAGUUUAUUAAUGGUUUGUUCUUCCCAGGAUCUAAUUCACGGGAUCUCCGAUCACAUAGACUGGGUUACCACCAUAGUAUAACUCACAUGGGUCUCAAACCCAUCUCCUUCGAUGCAUUGUCUAUCACAUUUCGUGAUAGUCCCUUCGUGAAGGGAUCUGCCAGGUUUCUCGCUGUUUGGAUGUAAUCCAACGUUAUAACUCCGGAGUUUCUUAAUUUCCUGACAGACUUCAAUCGUCUUUUCACAUGUCUAGACGAUUUCAUAUUAUCCUUAGAAUUAUUCACUUUGACAAUUACCGUUUGAUUGUCACAGUUCAUAAGGAUAGCCGGCACCGGUUUUUCAACAACAGGCAGAUCCAUUAAUAGAUCACGCAACCAUUCUGCCUCAACAGUAGCAGUAUCCAGUGCCGUUAGCUCUGCUUCCAUGGUUGACCUCGUCAAAAUUGUCUGUUUGCAAGACCUCCAUGAAACAGCACCACCACCCAGUGUGAAAACAUAUCCACUAGUGGCUUUGAUCUCAUCCACAUCAGAGAUCCAGUUAGAAUCACUAUAACCCUCCAGUACCGCAGGAUACCCAGUAUAGUGAAGCCCCAAUUCCACAGUACCUUUCAGAUAGCGCAUUACUCGCUCAAGCGCACGCCAGUGAUCAUCUCCCGGAUUAGAGGUAAAUCGGCUCAACUUGCUCACAGCAAAGGAGAUAUCAGGCCUAGUUGCACUAGCCAGGUACAUCAACGAGCCAAUGAUUUGGGAGUAUUCCAGUUGAUUCCUAGCAAUUCUCUUGUUCUUGCGAAGCGACAAGCUAGGAUCAUAAGGUGUUGGAGAAGGCUUACUAUCAAUGUAGCCAAAGCGAUUCAAGAUCUUCUCCACAUAAUGAGACUGCAAGAGUGUAAUCCCAUUCUCACCUCUAAUUAGCUUAAUGUUUAAAAUAACAUCAGCUACUCCCAAAUCUUUCAUAUCAAAAUUUUGAGACAAGAAUGAUUUAACCUCAUUUAUCACCUCAAUGUUUGUCCCAAAUAUCAGUAUGUCGUCAACAUACAAGCACAAAAUAACUCCCUCACCCCCACCAUGGCGAUAGUACACACAUUUAUCUGCCUCAUUGACUGCAAAGCCUGCAGACGUCAAUGUUUUGUCAAAUUUCUCAUGCCAUUGCUUAGGAGCUUGUUUCAGACCAUACAAAGACUUCAACAAUUUGCACACUUUGCCUUCUUGACCUUCAAGUACAAACCCAUCAGGUUGAUCCAUAUAGAUCUCCUCAUCCAGCUCUCCAUUAAGAAAAGCUGUCUUAACGUCCAUUUGAUGAACGAGAAGACCAUGUGAGGCUGCUAGGGAAAGUAGCACACGAAUUGUGGUCAAUCUAGCAACAGGUGAGUAAGUGUCAAAGAAAUCUUCGCCUUCUUUCUGAGUAUAGCCCUUAGCAACAAGCCGAGCCUUGUACUUUUCAAUAGUACCGUCAGGCCUAAGCUUCUUCUUGAACACCCACUUGCACCCCACAGGUUUACACCCAUAGGGUCGCUCUGUCACCUCCCAAGUCCCGUUAGCGAUAAUGGAAUCCAUUUCACUACGGACAGCCUCCUUCCAGUAGUCUGCAUCAGGAGAUGCAUAUGCUUCUGAAAUUGACUUAGGAGUGUCAUCCACGAGGUACACAGUGAAAUCAUCACCAAAAGACUUAGCCGUCCUUUGUCUCUUACUCCUUCGAGGAGCUUCACUGACAUCCUCCUCAGAGACAAGUUCAUGUGUAUGUUCAGUUUGUUCUGGUGGUGUGAUUGAACUGGGAAUUAUUUCAGAGGGUUGGUUCGAACCACUAUGUGUAUCCUUCAUUGGGAAAAAGCUCUCAAAGAAGGUAGCAUCACGAGACUCCAUAAUUGUACCAACAUGCAUGUCCGGUACCUCGGAUUUAACUAUUAAAAAUCUAUAGGCAAUGCUAUGAUGAGCAUAUCCCAGAAAAACACAGUCCACAGUCUUAGGUCCAAGUUUGCGCUUCUUCGUUAUUGGUACAUUGACUUUCGCCAAGCACCCCCAUGUGCGCAAAUAAGAAAGUGAUGGUUUUCUACCAAUCCAUAUCUCAUAUGGUGUUUUGUCCUUAUUUCUGUUAGGAACUCUGUUUAACACAUGAUUUGAGGUCAACAAUGCCUCCCCCCACCAUGCCUUAGGCAGUCCCGCGGUGUCCAACAUGGCAUUCACCAAGUCAGUCAGUGUGCGGUUCUUCCUUUCAGCAAUCCCAUUAGACUCGGGAGAAUAGGGAGGCGUCCUCUCAUGUAUGAUGCCAUGUUCCUCACAGAAUAAGUCAAACUCGUUCGAGAAAAACUCUCCACCACGAUCAGACCUAAGCCUUUUUAUCUUUCUGUCAAGUUGAUUUUCAACCUCUGCCUUAUAAAUUUUAAAAUAGUCUAGAGCCUCGUCUUUCGUUUUCAACAAGUACACAUAGCAAAAUCUAGUAGCAUCAUCAAUCAAUGUCAUGAAAUAUCGUUUUCCACCCUUCGUCAACACCCCAUUCAUUUCACAAAGAUCUGAAUGUAGGAGUUCUAGUGGUGCCAAGUUUCUCUCCUCGGCAGCCUUGUGAGGCUUGCGAGGUUGCUUCGAUUGCACACAACUAUGGCACUUAGAACCUUUGACAAUGGAAAACUUAGGAAUUAAACACAUGCUGGAAAGCCGAGACAUCAAGCCAAAAUUAAUAUGACAUAAACGUGAAUGCCAAACAUUAGCCUCAUCAUCCACACUGCCACAAAUAUGGUUCACAGACUUAUUGCAGAAAUCAGAAAGGGAAAAGCGGAACAGGCCUCCGCACUCAUAACCUUUACCAAUAAAAUAUCCAUGUUUAGACACGACUACUUUAUUAGACUCAAAAACCAACUUAAAUCCGUCUCUAGUCAGACGGGAGCCACUAACAAGAUUCCUGUCGAUAGAAGGGACAUGCUGCACGUUCUUCAGCUGCACGAUCUUUCCCGAAGUAAACUUCAGAUCUACCGUGCCAACACCAUGAACAGAAGCAUGUGACCCAUUCCCCAUUAGGACGGUGGAACCCCGUGCGACCUGAUAAGAAGAAAACAAUGAGAUGUCAGCACAAACAUGUACAUUGGCCCCAGUAUCAACCCACCAAUUAGUAGAUUGAUUAACUGAAAAAACAGUAGGUAAAUUACCAUACCCGCUUCCAUCUCCAGUGUUGCCAAUGGUCACAUUAGCAGACUUAGAAGUCUGCCCUGCAGGUGCCUUCAUCCCCUUGCGUUGUGGACACUUCCUAGCCAGAUGACCAACUUGGCCACACACAAAGCAAGUCCUCUCAUCCUGAUUAGGAUUGUUGUUGUUCUUCUUCUGCUUCUUGAAGUUGGUGGUCUGCUGAGCUUUGUAUUUCCCCUUGCUCUUGUUCUGGGCCUUGUGCACAACAUUGGCACUGGACUGCCCACCAUCGCCCUUAGACGCGGCAUCUUUUUCCCGAGCUUUCUCCUCAACAUCAAGAGACGCAAUCAACCCCUCAACGGAGUAUUCCUGUCUCUUGUGUUUGAGUGCAGUACCGAAACUCCUCCAAGAUGGAGGUAGUUUUGCAAUAAUGCACCCGGCCACAAAUUUGUCGGGUAAGACACACUUAAGGAGUUCGAGUUCCUUAGCCAUGGUUUGUAUCUCAUGAGCCUGUUCGACUACAGAACGGUUGUCAGCCAUUUUGUAGUCAUGAAACUGCUCCAUGAUAUACAGAUCAUUGCUAGCAUCAGUAGCACCGAAUUUAGUAUUCAGUGCAUCCCACAACUCCUUAGCGUCGGUCAUAUGCAUAUACACCUCGACCAGACGAUCGCCAAGAACGCUAAGAAUGCAUCCCACAAAGAGAGUAGUGGCUUCCUCGAAUUGCUUCUGCUGUUCAGCAGUAAGAACUCCUUCAGGUUUGCCAGUACUCACCCAGAAGCAUUUCAUAGCUGUCAGCCACAGAGUGACCCUGAUCUGCCAUCUCUUAAAAUGCACACCGGUGAAUUUAUCCGGCCUCAGUGCAUCGGCAAAACCAGCCAUAGUAAAAUCACAGUGCCUAUAAUAAGGUUUUUGGAUUGUUGAGAUUAUGGGCAUAUAAUGAUUUAAUUUAUUCCAUAAAUAAGUCAUGACAUUACAGAUGAAAACUAGCAUGAACGCAUCAUUAGAUCUACACAUGUAAACUACGCAGAAUAACAUGAACAGAUCAAAUAUGCGCAACAUAUUGAACACGUACCGAGGUGACGAAAAGACCGGCUGCUUGGUCGAAACUUUUCGCAGGUGUCUACGAAGGCACGAAACACGCGAGCGAAGAGGAAGGCGAGCCGUCGCGAACGAACAGGGAGCAGUCGCGCGAAGCGCUUCCCAAAAACCUUAUUGCCGCCUUCUCCCGGUGCAGGACGUCAAAGGCAGAGGUUCCGGAGACCUGCUCUCCCGAUCGCUGGUGCACGCCGGCGAGCGGGAUGGAGUAGUCUACGAGCGACGGCGCAGUACAGAGUAGGAGGCAAACCCUAGAUUGAUUUUCGCAUAUAUUGCGUGAAGACGGCGGGUCGGUUUAUAUAGAGAAAGGUCGCUUGAUCAGGGCGCCCGCACGAUCUCUACUGCGCGUAACCGAACCGGAUAAGUCGCGCGUAACUUAUCCGGACUCCACGCCGUUUGCACGCAUCGGAUUUUUCGGAACGUUUCCAAAACAAAAACGAAUCCGAAUUUGCAGCAAAACAAAACUGCAAAAAGAGGCUGCAUCUGCGCAAGGGUGAGGAGCCAAUUUUUCGGACCAUUCGACGCGUACGUCGUGCACGCGCGCCGCCUGCCCUGCCCUGCCCAGGCCAGGCCAGGCGAGGCGAGGCGAGCGAGCGCGCGCGUGUGUUUCCCCUCUUCUCUCCACCACACAUGCUUCAAGUGGCUAGGAGGGCAUCCUCCCUUUUAAGGAGGUCCCCCUCUCCUAGAAUAAGCAAGGUGGUACUAAACUCCACAUGCAUGCCAUCCCAUGAGGUGGGCUUUUGUGAUUUUCCAAAGAAUUAAUCUUCGAGUGGGCUAAGACCCAUUCAUUAAUUCCAACAGCCGGGUCAAUAUGGCAAGCAGGAAGCAUGCACCUAGCCUCCCAGUGUAUGGGUUAGGAAACAACCAAUAUGGACGGUUACAUGGCUCUUUGAAAAAACUAUACAUCACUCGACCUAUUUCGGGAGGAAAAUUACACAAAUUUCUAACUUUAUUAUGAUUUACUCCGUGAUUUAUAUUUUGGCUUUGCAUAAAUUAUUUGACUUACUCCAUCAUUUAUGGGUAGAAAGAUGAAAGGUGUUUCCUAGCUUAGAAGGAUGGUCGGAAUGGUGGUGGCCUGGCAGUGGGCUAGUGGCCAUGGAGCCUCCUUGGCCGCAGGAGAAUAGGAAGGCCGCAGUGGGCUGGUGUUGGGCAGUAGGACAUGUUGUUGAAAUGGAUAGGAGCCGGUGCAUCCAAGCGGCUAGAACUCCCAAAGACGAAAGAUGAUAGUGAUGUGGUGGCACCGGAGCCAAAGAUGGAGGGGUGCGAGGGUUUCCCAAACCGCCGGGGCCGGGGUUACCGUGACCCGGCGGUAAGCACGGUUACUGUGCGGUAACCACGAUAACCGUGAAAAACCGUACGAAACCAUAUAAAUUUAUUUGACUUUAAGGAGGUUACCGCGGUUUUUCUAUUACCGUAUCCCUACGGUAAGGCCGGUAACUGCGGUAACCGCACGGUUACCGACGGUAAUGUAAACCCUGGGUGCGACAACAUGGCCUAGCGGGCCUUGUAAGCGUAGGGGCAACGGCCACCAAGUGGAGGGCGAUGCAAGAAUCGCUUGACAAGGCUAAGGAGGGGGGAGGGGAGGGAGGGGGACACUGGUGGAGAAACCCUUUGUACUCCUGGUUCGUAACUCCCCUUUAGUCCCGGUUAUCCAACCGGGACUACGAAUCCGGGACUAAAGAUCGCUAUCUUUAGUCCCGAGUGAAAUAACCGGGACUAAAGAUCGAUAUUUACUAAAGAUACCUAUCUUUAGUCUCGGUUGGACUAAAGAGAGGGUAGCGGCAGUCCCAUUAGGUCUCCUUUUCUUUUUUUUUCAUUAUUUUUUAGCCAGAGUUUAAUCCCUGUAUUUUCUCCCAAAUCGAGUGGGAUGCAUAUUCCCAAAUCAAACCCCAAAUCAAAGUAACAUCCCAAAACAUUCACAUCACAAAUCUUAAGUUACUUGUACACAAAAAAUCAAAUACAUCACAAAUCUUAAAAAAAUUACACACAAACCAAAUACAUCACAUAUUAUAUAUCUCAGAUCCAUACAACAAAUCACAAAAUUAUACAUCUCAGUGAAUCACAAAUUGUAAAAAAAAAAGAAAAAAAAAGAAUGAAUGCCGGUAGUGCCGCCUGCCGCCGCUCGCUACUCGCCGGGCGUGGCCCCGCCGGCCGCCUACCGCGUGCGGCCCCGCCGGGCGCGGCCCCACCUAACGCGUGCGGGAAGGGAGGAGGGGGAGGAGGCGAUGCUCGCUGGGCAUCGGAUGGGAAGGGAGGAGGGGGAGGAGAGGGCCGGGAUGGGAGGAGGAGAGGGAGAUGGAUCUGAGGAGAGGAGAGGCCGGUUGUGAGGGAGAGGAUAGGGAAUAGAGAUUAUAUACUACGCGUGAUUUUAGUCCCGGUUGGUAAUACCAACCGGGAGUAAAGAUCUAGGAGAUCUUUAGUCCCGGUUAGUAAUACCAACCGGGACUAAAGUGGUAAUCUUUAGUCCUGGUUUGUGACACCAACCGGGACUAAAGAUCGUAAAAUGACUAUGGGGUUUUAAACCGGGACUAAAGGUUUUUUUUAACUGGGACUACUGUGGUUUUGGGGCGACCGAGCAAAGAUCAGUUUUUCCAGUAGUGGGAGGAGGGGAGAGAAAUCACACAAGUGACGUACAGAUAUACCAAUCUAUGUUCCUACCAGGCUACCAUGACGUACUCCCUCCGUACUCGUAAAGGAAAUCGUUUUGGAUAGCGACACGGUCUCUAAAAACACAACUUUGACUUCUUUGUUUGUGUAAAGAUAUUUAUUGAAAAGUGAUAUAUGCAUACAUUUAUGAAAAUAUUUUUCAAGACCAAUAUAUUCAUAUAAUUUUUACAUUUUCAAACUCAACAACUUGAGAGUUAUUCAUAAUUUAUAUUCCCAAGAUUUAACUUAAACAUUAUCCUAAACGACUUCCUUUACUACGGAGGGAGUAUGUGUUAACGGUAAGAUUUGGAUAUAAGCAUUGGUCAAAACGGACCAACAAGAGGAAUUGACGCCGUAAGAAGAAUUGGUUCAGUUGGGAAGUGAAUCGGGCUGAUUAGACUUGUUUUAGAUUUAAUUUUGGAAAUAAUUGCUGUAAUUAGGCAGGUGUGUAAUUUUCGUUUAUUUGGAGAUAAGUCCACUGCCGAUCAAAUCGUAUUUGAGUCGGGCUUAGUUAGACCAAUGGUAUAAAUAUAUGUGCCCACAAACCUAGCUAGGAAAAAAAAAUCAACAUAUCAAUAUACGACUUUUGAUGCCGUCCAGUAGCACGUAAAUAUAUAUAGGGAUUUCAUAUCACGAAAUGCCCAUACGUACUAGAUUGCCAACA